Non-coding RNA from Cucurbita pepo subsp. pepo (vegetable marrow), 707 nucleotides. The record is from RefSeq and is a predicted model, not a curated record. NCBI's taxonomy places the organism in Eukaryota, Viridiplantae, Streptophyta, Magnoliopsida, Cucurbitales, Cucurbitaceae.
GCGCGCGGCAAGCGAGAGUUCCGGACGUGUUACAGGGGGAGGGGAUUCGAUAAUGGCUAUGGAAUUGCAGUUUCCCGCCGCGCCGACGCUCACUGUCAGACCUGAAAUUCUCAGAGUUAGGGUUCGAAUCAGGCUCGAGACUUAACUAUGAUCUUCAUUUCAUGGCAGCCUAGGGAAGAAAACGUAUUCGUAAUCGUUGCGUUCAUGACACAACUAGCGUAGACCUGCUGUAUUCUGUAUAGUUUAGAGCUUUGAAGUGUUAAAAACGCUACCAUUGGCUAUGGGAUUCUGAAAAAGACCAAGAUGAAGAAAUGACGGAAGAGGAAGAAGAACAUCGAUUCUAAAAACGAAGAGGCUGGCAAGCCUGAGAUGUUUAGUUGUUGAAUGCCGAGCUGUUACUAUUUGUGUACUAUAUACCAAAGAACUAAAGUCACUUAUGAACAACUAGUACAGAAUUGCAGUUGGAGUUUCGUGCCUGUUGGACAUGAGGUAGAAACUUUCUCCACUUCAUUUGCUGCAAAUCGGUCGAUCGAUCCAUGACGAACGGGGCCUCUUAUCUUACAUGUUGGAACUAUUCUAGCAAAUUCACUGGCUCGUGAAAAUGGCCCACAUCAAUUAUUGAGUGGGAGUAUCUGAUCCUCCACAAUCAGAUGAUGUGUAAAGCAGAACCUUUUGAUGUGGAAAAGUUUUGUCACAAUCCCCCAAUC